AUACCUUUCUCGGCCUUUUGGCUAAGAUCAAGUGUAGUAUCUGUUCUUAUCAGUUUAAUAUCUGAUAUGUGAGCCAUCGACUCACACGAUAUUAACUCAAUUUUUUAAGGGGGAGAGUCCAUUAAGGUAGCUUGCUAUCUGGCCUCUCAAGCGUCGCCCAUGCGUUGCACUACUGCAUGGGCCAGGCGCACCCCGC
This 196-nucleotide small nuclear RNA is filed under the name Nicotiana sylvestris (wood tobacco). Its description in RNAcentral is "U2 spliceosomal RNA". It matches the Rfam family "U2 spliceosomal RNA". Rfam says of the family: U2 is a small nuclear RNA (snRNA) component of the spliceosome (involved in pre-mRNA splicing). Complementary binding between U2 snRNA (in an area lying towards the 5' end but 3' to hairpin I) and the branchpoint sequence (BPS) of the intron results the bulging out of an unpaired adenosine, on the BPS, which initiates a nucleophilic attack at the intronic 5' splice site, thus starting the first of two transesterification reactions that mediate splicing. The record is from Rfam by way of RNAcentral. Lineage: Eukaryota; Viridiplantae; Streptophyta; Magnoliopsida; Solanales; Solanaceae.